Molecule: non-coding RNA, 173 nt
Filed under: Anoxynatronum buryatiense
Lineage: Bacteria; Bacillati; Bacillota; Clostridia; Eubacteriales; Clostridiaceae
Description: 6S / SsrS RNA
Rfam family: 6S / SsrS RNA
About the family: E. coli 6S RNA was the first non coding RNA to be sequenced, but its function was unknown until recently. It consists of 184 nucleotides that fold into an extended hairpin structure with a large single-stranded internal bulge. The 6S RNA specifically associates with RNA polymerase holoenzyme containing the sigma70 specificity factor.
Source: RNAcentral
GACAGCCUGCUGUGUGCGUGUAUUCGAUUUAGUUUUGAGCCAACACUAUUACAUUGGGAGCCUGGCGUCUGAUGGUGGAGCAAAAGCCCUUUGGGACUUGUAAAAUCAUUGGCAGGGCACCCACCUGCGAGAGCAGGUCCAAAACGAUCGACAUACGGCAUGGCGGGUGUCGC